GGUCUGGUGGUGUAGUUGGAAACACGUUCUCUUCAUACCCAGAUGUUGGUGAUCAGAGAAAGUCCUUUGUUCCAAUCAAGGUCAGGUUA
Mycena rebaudengoi is the source of this 89-nucleotide non-coding RNA. The record is from the annotation of a GenBank genome assembly. NCBI's taxonomy places the organism in Eukaryota, Fungi, Basidiomycota, Agaricomycetes, Agaricales, Mycenaceae.